UGAUGGUCCAGGUGGGAACCCUGAGCCUCCGUGUCAAAACCGCAAGUUGUUCGUGACAACUCGAGGAGCUGGGUCUGUGCUUGGAAGAGGACCCCUGCUAGGCAGUGAUGGGUAGCUAUGGAGGGAUCAAGGGCACUAGGAGCACUGCUUCCUGGGAGUCGCCUUCGAGGUCGCCCGCACUGGGCUCUGGCGCAGCCUCCCGUGGUCUGAUGUGUGGGACGCCCGCUUUCUUGGGGGCAUCGUCUCCCAGCGGCUGUCCACAGCUGUCCAUAGGGCAGGAAGACUCCGUCGGCUGCACCGUGUCUGACCCAUCUGCUGCCGGGUGACCUGGGGACGGACACUCCAAGUCCUGCUGAAGACAGGAUACGAGGGUUGAGGAGCCCCGUCCGGUUCCUAGGUGAGCCUCAACACCCAGGUGACCACGGGCCUGCUGCUGUCCAGGCACCGCAGGCCCCUCCAAGACAGCAGGAGGAAGAGGAAACUGGGGCCCAGGGAAGGCACGGCCACCCAAAGUCAUGGUCCAAGCCUCUCUGCGGAGGGAGAAGGGGAGCCUGGGAAAGCCAGAAGAUCCCC
This 573-nucleotide long non-coding RNA is filed under the name Ictidomys tridecemlineatus (thirteen-lined ground squirrel). Its description in RNAcentral is "lncRNA (ENSSTOG00000031233.1)". Lineage: Eukaryota; Metazoa; Chordata; Mammalia; Rodentia; Sciuridae. The record is from RNAcentral.